GCCGGUGUAACUCAGUCGGUAGAGUAGCUGAUUCGUAAUCAGCAAGUCAGGAGUUCAAAUCUCCUCUCCGGCUCCA
Molecule: transfer RNA, 76 nt
Filed under: Syntrophales bacterium
Lineage: Bacteria; Pseudomonadati; Thermodesulfobacteriota; Syntrophia; Syntrophales
Description: tRNA-Thr
Rfam family: tRNA
About the family: Transfer RNA (tRNA) molecules are approximately 80 nucleotides in length. Their secondary structure includes four short double-helical elements and three loops (D, anti-codon, and T loops).
Source: RNAcentral